Molecule: long non-coding RNA, 2805 nt
Filed under: Mus musculus (house mouse)
Lineage: Eukaryota; Metazoa; Chordata; Mammalia; Rodentia; Muridae
Description: long non-coding RNA chr2:61987519-61990324
Source: RNAcentral
GUGUCUGCAAUUUGUUAGAGGGGCAAAAGGCAAACUGCUCUGAAACAUCAAAGAGAGCCUCUUCACACUUGCCUCUGAGGAUUUCCUAUUCUCUUCCUAUUUGUGAGGAGGGAGAAUACAUUCUUAGAAGAGAUCUACAGCUAGAGUGAACCUUGAAGUAUGUGGAAUUACAAAUGCUUCUAUGCCUAGAUUUGUCGUUACACAGUAAAUAUCACUUCUAAAAUCAAACCUAAGAGACAAAUUCUGUGUGCUUGUACAUUUUUCUGAAUUUGGUAGUUUUUAAUGGAAUUAAAAUAAAAUUAGAAAUUGGUUAUUGGAAUUUGGUUAUUUUAGAAGAAAAAAAGAUUCUUAAGUUUUGCUAGUUCUCUGAACUUGAACAAAUAAACAAAAAAAAAAAAAGUAAGAAAAAGAAAAAGCACACAUUCUGGAAAGAACAGUUAGAGGUGUUCGUCAUCAAGUCUGAUUACUGGACCCUAAGACUGUCCUCUACAUAUGCAUCUGCUUGCUCUGACACACACACACACACACACACACACAUGCAUAUAUACACGUAUGCACACACAUAUAUAAGUAUACACACAUGUAAAAAAAAGUACAAAAUAGCAGGCUUUCCUGUGCCCUUUAGAUUAUUCCUUCCACUCCUACUCCCUGCUCCUUUGUCCUUCCUCUCACCCUCCCCAUGCACACAUCUGCCCACAGUGGUCCUCUAUCAUUUCUACAUUAUGUGUUUUAUUACCUUUCCUAGUGUACACACUCAAAGCUUAUUUCCCAUCUCAUAGGCCUCUUUCUAGUUUUUUUGUUCUCUGCCAAUGAAAGACCCACAACGUGAGGACUCUCCCACGUUCUGACUCAGGAGAGGCGACACCCCAAAAUCACCAACGAGAAAACGGUCUUGUUGCAAAUUGCAAGAGGAUUUUUAUUCAAGAGCGCUCUCGGGCCCACGGUCAUACACCACGCAGGGGUAGAGGACUGUGGCGCCCCGAGUAGCUGGGUAAGGGGGUAUUUAAAGGAAGAAACCGAAACUCAAGGAAGUGGGGAGGGCUUUGUUGGAAGAUACCAAAGAUACCAGUUAAGAGUCACAAGGAAGUGUAAAGUUACAAGAGUCACAAGGAAUACCUGGUAAUUGUUAACUCUCAAGACAGCUUCUAAGAGCCCCUAACAAUAGCACAUUUGCAUUGCAGGUUCUGGUAAUGGCCAGGGUGACUUUCUUUGAAUGAGCACUCUUUGAACCCAGGAAGCGGGUGGGUAGAGGAAUGUCGCUAUCUCUUUUAUGAUUAGCAUACCUUUACAAAGGCCACAUUCCCAAGCCUGGGCCUAAAGGCCUAGAAUUCUGUUUUUACGUUGUUAUACUUUCACCAACACCUAAAAAAUACAACUUUAACAUUUAGAAACCAGAAUUAGCAUAUGAAAAGAUACACAAGGUAUUUGUCUAUUUUCAUCUGAAUAUAGUAGUUUCUAAUUCUAUACAUUAUUUUGAAAUUUUCUCAAUUUUUCUUUAUAUUUAUGCCCUUGGGUUCAUUACCCACAUUUUCAUUAUCCAUUCAUUUAUGAUGGACGUGUAGCUGAUUCCAUGUCCUAGCCAUUGUCCAAAGAGAAGCAGUGACUAUGGAUGUGCAAGUAUCUCUAGGCUGUAGAGUCAUUUGGGUGUCUAUCCAGGAGUGGUACAGCGGGGUCUCCUUUUAGUAUUGAGCCUCCACACUGAUCUCCAUAGUGACUGUAAAUUUUACUUUUCCACCAGUAACAAUUAGUGAUUCCUUCUCUUCAACAUCUUUGCCCAUAUUUGUUGUAAUUGCCUUUCUUGAUUCUGACUGGGAUGAGAAGGAACGUCAAAGUAGCUUUAAUUUUCAUUUCCUGGAUGAGCAAAAAUGUUGGAUACUUAAAAAUUAUGCUUUGGCCAUUUGUAUUUCAGGUAGUGACUCCAUUUGUAAAUUCUUUGAGUUAGUUCUUAUGUCACUAAGUUCUAAUUAUUGACUAUUUUUAUGACAUAUAUCCUAGAGUGCAUGCCACUUGUGUUCCUUUAGUCAUUUCAGUAUUUCAUGUUUUAAAUUAAGGUAUUUAAUUCUGUUUGAAUUGAUGUUUUUGUGUGUAAAAACUGAGAGAUGUGAAACUAAUUUCAUUCUUUGGCAAGUAUAUAUCCCAUUUUCCAGGUUGUCUUUUGCCCAAUAUAUAUCUUUUAAUACCCUUUAUAAAAGUUAGGUGUUUGUAGCUGUGCUGGUUUAUCUCUAUUAUGUUCGACUGCCCUGUGUGUCUUAUUUUUGUGUCAGUAUUACAUUGUCUUUGUCACUAUAAUUUGUAGCAUAGUUUGAGAUCAGAUAAUGCAAUACCUCUACCUAUGUUCUUUCUGCUUUGGAUUGCUUUGUCUACCCAUGAUCAUUUGUGUUUCCAUAUGAAUUUUAGGAUAUCCUUUAAUAGAUCAAAUGUCAUUGGAAUAUAAUUGAUACUCCAUUUAGUCUGUAGACUACUUUUGGGGUAAAGCCAUUUUCACAAUAGUAAUUCUGACAAUACAGUAGUGUAGGUUUUUCUAUCAUUUAAUGUCUUCUUCAAUCUUUAUAUUCAAUGUCUUUAAGUUUUUCAUGUAGAGGUAUUUCAGCCCCUUGCUAGGCUUAUACCUGCAUUUUUUUUUAAAAAAAAAUCAACUGUAUGGCAUUUAUUUUUAAAAAGAUUCAUUUUAUUUGUGUGAGUACACUGUAGCUGUCUUCAGACACACCAGAAGAGGGCCUCGGAUCUCAUUACAGAUGGUUGUGUGCCACCAUGUGUUUGCUGGGAAUUGAACUCAAAACCUUUGGAAGAGCAGUCGGUGCUCUU